GAUUGAACGCUGGCGGCAGGCCUAACACAUGCAAGUCGAGCGGUAGAGAGAAGCUUGCUUUUCUUGAGAGCGGCGGACGGGUGAGUAAUGCCUAGGAAUCUGCCUGGUAGUGGGGGAUAACGUUCGGAAACGGACGCUAAUACCGCAUACGUCCUACGGGAGAAAGCAGGGGACCUUCGGGCCUUGCGCUAUCAGAUGAGCCUAGGUCGGAUUAGCUAGUUGGUGAGGUAAUGGCUCACCAAGGCGACGAUCCGUAACUGGUCUGAGAGGAUGAUCAGUCACACUGGAACUGAGACACGGUCCAGACUCCUACGGGAGGCAGCAGUGGGGAAUAUUGGACAAUGGGCGAAAGCCUGAUCCAGCCAUGCCGCGUGUGUGAAGAAGGUCUUCGGAUUGUAAAGCACUUUAAGUUGGGAGGAAGGGCAGUUACCUAAUACGUGAUUGUUUUGACGUUACCGACAGAAUAAGCACCG
Molecule: ribosomal RNA, 473 nt
Filed under: Pseudomonas sp. M19
Lineage: Bacteria; Pseudomonadati; Pseudomonadota; Gammaproteobacteria; Pseudomonadales; Pseudomonadaceae
Description: bacterial SSU rRNA
Rfam family: Bacterial small subunit ribosomal RNA
Source: RNAcentral